CUAGGUCAAUUCAAAUUUUGUUCACAAAAUUGAAAGGAAUAUAUGAGUUCCUUAUUCUCAAACAUUCAUCUUUCUCAUUGGUCUUAGACUCUUGCUUUGUUGCUUUUGCUUGUGAAAUUUAGGCCAUGAUUUUUGUCAAAUUUGUUUCUCAUUGCUUUUCCUGUGAUCAGUCCUGAGGCAUGUGCUGCAAUAUUGUGGAAGUCUGCCCAAGCAGCUCCUAAGGCGACUGAAAAACUGAGGAUAACAGCACAAGAACAUUACAGGCUCAGAAUUGUAGAUGGUGUUAUUCCCGUAAGCACUUAGGUCAAUUGUCAUGUUUCCCGUUUUCCUGUAACUCAGUUGCUCAUAAGUCUUUAAAAUGAUUAUUGGAGUUCUUCAACAGUUUGGGUUAGAAAGGCUGUUAAAAGAUUUCAAAUUGGUUUCUUUUUCAUCCUCAGCAACCAUAAUGCAGCUGUGAUAUUCUUAAGCCUUUCUGUCUAGUGUAGAUGUAGUCAUCUCUAAAACUUCAGAAAGGACGUCUGUUAUUUGAUUCUUGGUUGACUACAUGUUCAUUUGUCAUAUUAUAAGUGAGUUCCUAUC
Long non-coding RNA from Vitis riparia (riverbank grape), 579 nucleotides. RefSeq lists it as uncharacterized. The transcript is spliced from 2 exons. The record is from RefSeq and is a predicted model, not a curated record. Lineage: Eukaryota; Viridiplantae; Streptophyta; Magnoliopsida; Vitales; Vitaceae.